GUGCCCACUUUGGCAGCACAUAUACUAAAUUAGAAUGAUACAGAGAUUAGCAUGGCCCCUGUACAAGGAUGACACAAAUUCAUGAAGCAUUCCAUAUUUUA
This 101-nucleotide small nuclear RNA is filed under the name Sus scrofa (pig). Lineage: Eukaryota; Metazoa; Chordata; Mammalia; Artiodactyla; Suidae. The record is from RNAcentral.